UGCAGCGCAUUGGUCCUCCAGGGCAAGAUUUGAGGAACCCUGAUUUAAGUUGUGGGUGCGGGAUUCUGUUAUUUCACCUCUCUCCUAUUCAGCUAAAUUGUUUGAAUGUAUAUCUAAAUGACAAUAAUUGGAUUAGAUCCCCUCAACCCACAACAUCAUGACAUUUGCAGCGAGCGCUCAAUUGGCAGAACUGCUAAUCAAGAGGAAAGGCCAUCGAGCUGGACGUGUUUCACAGGUGUCUGGUCCAGCCAACACCUGAUUAAACUAAUUACAUCGCUGUUCUGGCUCCAGGCAUUGAUUCAUCGUGGGCGGUUUAACCCGCUUCGAUUUUACCGCAGAAGAAAGCUCCACCGGCUUAGAGACGAAACGAAGUGGAUGGAAAGCUUCUCCCUGCACUCCACAGUUAUUGAAGGCAAUGUGAUGAAGAUGUCUUCUCAUCCUGAAUGGACAAACCUGAGAAAUCAGCAGGACCCUUCAGUCUUCACUUCACCGCUGAUGUCAUCCGUGACCUUCUGAACCUUUGACCUAUCCGAGGUCAAUCACAAAAGAAGACUCACAUGUAAAAUCCCCGUCAUAACUCACAUCUCUCCAUCUGCGCUGAAUUUGUGCCGAUGAAAUCAGUCUGAGAUUAGCUGGCAUUAGAUGAACCGCUCACAUUGGUCCUUUAUUUGCCUGAUUGAUCUAAUCUCUGCAUUAACAGAAUUGCUUCUGUCUACAUAAAGUUUGUUCCUGUUUGUACAGUGGGGAAAAGCAAGUACAGCACCCAGAGAUGCAGAAGAGUUCAUGGAAAGAGCAGAACCAGUGUCAUCAGAAGUACAGGAGUGAGAGAGAUCUGGAUCAACACACACACACACACUGGUGGGAUCUCUUAUGUUCGUUAGGAGUGUGUUGACUAAGGCAUGUGUAAAACUCCAUCACUAAGAGUAGAAUGACUGCAGUCUGUAGAGAGUCGAGCAGAAUUCAGAAUGGAAGUGGAACUGAGCUGCAAACAGGAUGC
Carassius gibelio (silver crucian carp) is the source of this 997-nucleotide long non-coding RNA. RefSeq lists it as uncharacterized. The record is from RefSeq and is a predicted model, not a curated record. Lineage: Eukaryota; Metazoa; Chordata; Actinopteri; Cypriniformes; Cyprinidae. The transcript has 5 exons.